RNAcentral lists this ribosomal RNA (253 nucleotides) under uncultured bacterium. RNAcentral describes it as "partial 16S ribosomal RNA". It matches the Rfam family "Bacterial small subunit ribosomal RNA", at positions 524 to 776 of the family's 1533-position model. The record is from RNAcentral.
UACGUAGGGCGCAAGCGUUGUCCGGAAUUAUUGGGCGUAAAGAGCUCGUAGGCGGUUUGUCGCGUCUGCUGUGAAAACCUAAGGCUCAACCUUGGGCUUGCAGUGGGUACGGGCAGACUAGAGUGCGGUAGGGGUGACUGGAAUUCCUGGUGUAGCGGUGGAAUGCGCAGAUAUCAGGAGGAACACCGGCGGCGAAGGCGGCACUCUGGGCCGGUACUGACGCUGAGGAGCGAAAGCGUGGGUAGCAAACAGG